CCUAAGAUAUGCAAGUCGAACGGUUCUCGUUUACUUGAUUCCUUCGGGAUGAAAGUAAACAUAUGGGAAUAGUGGCGGGCGGGUGAGUAACAUGUAGGAAUCUACCUUCCAGUGGGGAAUAACCCCGCGAAAGCGGGGCUAAUACCGCAUGGUCCCGAAAGGGUAAAGCUUUAGUGCUGGAAGAUGAGCCUGCAUCCUAUCAGCUAGUUGGUAAGGUAAUGGCUUACCAAGGCUACGACGGGUAGGGGAACUGAGAGGUUGGUCCCCCACAAUGGCACUGAGACACGGGCCAUACACCUACGGGUGGCAGCAACUAGGAAUCUUGCGCAAUGGGCGAAAGCCUGACGCAGCGAUGCCGCGUGCGGGAAUGAAGCUCGAGAGAGUGUAAACCGCUGUGGUAUGGGAAGAAGUCAGUGACGGUACCAUAUUAGAAAGCGCCGGCAAACUACGUGCCAGAAGCCUCGGUCAUACGUAGGGCGCAAGCGUUGUCCGGAUUUACUGGGCGUAAAGGGGUAGGCAGGCGGUAUAACACGUCUUAUCUUAAAGACCUGGACUCAAUCUAGGGAAAGGGUGGGAUACGGUUGUACUAGAGACAUACAGGGGCAAGUGGAACUGUGCAAGUAGGGGUUAAAUCCUUUGAUAUGCACAGGAACACCAAGGGCGAAAGCAGCUUGCUGGGUAUGUUCUGACGCUCAUCUCCGAAGGCUAGGGGAGCAAAACGGAUUAGAUACCCGUGUAGUCCUAGCUGUAAACGAUGCUCGCUAGAAACCUGGUCCGUUAAGAACAGAGAAUGCUUCUGUUUUUGACGGUCUGGGUUUCGUAAGCUAACGCGUUAAGCGGGCCGCCUGGGGAGUACGGCCGCAAGGCUAAAACUCAAAGGAAUUGACGGGGGAUCGCACAAGCGGUGGAGCGCGUUCUUUAAUUGGAUGAUGACCCAAGAACCUUACCAGGGUUUGACAUUCCAUUCUUAACGCCGCUAUGAAAAUAGUUGGAAUCUGCUUGCAGGGGAUGGAACAGGUGUUGCACGGCUGUCGUCAGCUCGAGUCGUGAGACGUAGGGUUCAGUCCUACAUCGAGCGCAACCUAUACCAUGUGUUGUAUCACUCACAUGGGACUGCCCCGGUAACGGGGAGGAAGGCGUAGACGACGUCUAGUCAGCGUUGCCCUUAUGCCCUGGGCGAGAAACGCGCUACAAUGGUCAUGACAAUGGGUUGCCACGUCGUAAGGCGGAGCUAAUCCCCAAACAUGGCCUCAGUUCAGAUUGAAGUCUGCAAUUCGACUUCAUGAAGGUGGAAUCGCUAGUAAUCGUGUAUCAGCAUGGCACGGUGAUACAUUCUCGAUCCUUGCACACACC
Molecule: ribosomal RNA, 1353 nt
Filed under: uncultured bacterium
Lineage: Bacteria
Description: partial 16S ribosomal RNA
Rfam family: Bacterial small subunit ribosomal RNA
Source: RNAcentral